This is a non-coding RNA of Oncorhynchus tshawytscha (Chinook salmon), 71 nucleotides long. NCBI's taxonomy places the organism in Eukaryota, Metazoa, Chordata, Actinopteri, Salmoniformes, Salmonidae. The record is from the annotation of a RefSeq genome assembly.
UCCCGUGUAGCUCAGUUGGUAGAGCAUGGCACUAGCACUGCCAGGGUUGUGGAUUCGAAUCCCACGGGGAA